GACGAACGCUGGCGGCGUGCUUAACACAUGCAAGUCGAACGAAGUGGCGAACGGGUGAGUAAUACGUGGCUAACCUGACCUCCUUUUUGGGAUAAGCCUUGGAAACGGGGUCUAAGAUCGAAUAAAGGGUGUGGGGCUCGGGGCGUAUCGGCGUGUUGGUGGGGUGCUGGCCUACCACGGCGGUGACGGGUAGCCGGCCGGUGGGGUUGACCGGCCACAUUGGGACGGAGAUACGGCCACGACGCCUACGGGAGGCAGCAGUGGGGGAUAUUGCACAAUGGGCGAAAGCCUGAUGCAGCUACGUCGCGUGGGGGAUGAGGGCUUUCGGGUUGUAAGCCUCUUAAGCUAUCGAACGGGUAGCUGGAGAAGAAGCGCCGGCUAACUACGUGCCAGCAGCCGCGGUAAUAC
This 408-nucleotide ribosomal RNA is filed under the name uncultured bacterium. RNAcentral's name for it is "partial 16S ribosomal RNA". It matches the Rfam family "Bacterial small subunit ribosomal RNA", at positions 28 to 526 of the family's 1533-position model. The record is from RNAcentral.